CUAUAGUUAUAAUUGGUCUCUUACAAUUCCUAUCAAUUCAGACACAGUUUCUCUUCCCCUCCAGCUCUAACUCCCCUCUCCCCAAGCCCCAAUUCCCACCCCAGGCAAGCCCCACCCGUGUCUCCCCCUCCUCCUCCUCCUCCUCCUCCUUCCACACUAAACACCCCUUUUUUUUUUUUCCUGUUUUCUCUGCUUUCCCCCUUUUUUUUUUCCCCAGAGUACAUCCAGAAAUAUGCAACAGAAGAAGCACUGAAGGAGCAGGAGGAAGGCACCGGGGACAGCUCCUCCGAGAGCUCCAUGUCCGACUUCUCCGAGGACGAGGCCCAGGACAUGGAAUUGUAGUUGGGAUGAGCAGGAAGGAGGAGGAGGAGGAGGAGGAGGAAGAGGAGGAAUAAUGAGCAGCCCCCCCCCCCCCCUGCUUUUCAGAGACCUCAAUUUCCUAACCAUGAGGAAGCAGAACUGUAUAAUAUUCAUAUUAAACCAGAAGAAAAAAAAAAAAUAAAAAAAGGAGAAAAAAAAACAAAAAAAAAAAAGCAAUUUUUUUUAUUACUAAAAAAAAAACAAACAAACAAGGUUUUUAUGGAUUAUAGCAUUGAUAUAUUAUAUCUAUAUCUCUCUCUCUCUCUCUCUCUCUCUCUCUCACCUCACCCCUUUAGAGCCUGAGAUUUUUCCCUCCCUCCCUUCCUUUCCUUCCUUCCCUCUUUUCCCAGCCAGUGUCCCGAGGGGCGGGUGGCAUUCCCACAUUCCAUGUUGGUAGCAAUACAGGAGUGCAGAUCCCAGGGGGUGUUCCCUGGGCUAUCUAUCCCAGGAGAGGGAAGGGAAUGAGCGGCCAAAAAAACCCAAAAACCUCCCCCCUCCCAAAACAACCACGAAAACCUGGGAUGUGUCUUUGCUUUUUGCGGGAACGGCGUCGCCCUCCUCCGGAUCCCGGGAUUUCUGGGGUGGCAGGAGCAGGCACAGGGAUGGAAGGGGCUCCUCCAGCCAGGAGAAAAGAGAGGGAACGAGUCCAAUCCCACCCCACGGCCUGGAAGUGUCUCCACUUGGAUUCCUCGCCCGUCGUUUUCCGCGGAUCCCUCCCGGAGCUGUCGGGACUGCGCCGACCCCCGGCGGGAUUCCCUCCGAAAAAAAAACCUCGGGAUGUUGCUGUUGUCAUUUCUGCUCCCCUUCGGGGCCGGAUGGACCAGGAGCUGUUCCCUGUGCUGGGAGGGAAGGCCCCGGCGGACUCUUGGAACGCUUUGGAAUUCCCCGGGAGCGCUUGGAAUGGCUUCGAGUUGGCUUUUGGGUUGUUCUCUCUUAGAUUUAUUUUUUUUUUUUUUUUUUGCCCUCCUCCUUUUGUUUUUUUUUCGGAUUUUUUCCCGCUUGGAAUUUGGGUAAAACCCAUCCAGGAGCUGCAGAUCCACAGGGAUUAUCCGGAAUCCACGAAUCCCUCGGAGCUGAUUUGAGUUGAGUUGAAUUUUUUUUGGUUGGUUGGUUGGUUUUUUUCUCUUUUUUUUUGUUUUUUUUUCCCUUUUUUUCCCCUUUUUUCCCCCCCUUUUCCCACCCCCCUUUUUCUUGCACCAGCUUGGUUCCCACAUCUUGCUUGUGUGUGUAAAAAAAAAAAAAACUGCGGGAAAACGAGAAAUUCCUGAGAGAGUGGGUUUAAAAAAAAAAAAAACAAUAAUUAAAAAAAAAAAUGUCGGGGAAGAAGAAGAAGAAAAGACAGAAGAAAAAAAAAGAAGAAGGAAAUUAAAAAAAAAAAAAAAAAAAAAAAAAGGAAAAAAAAAAAAAAAAAACCACAGCAAAAAAAAAUAAAAAAAAUCAUUUUGUGGAAAAAAAAAAAACA
RNAcentral lists this long non-coding RNA (1822 nucleotides) under Manacus vitellinus (golden-collared manakin). Its description in RNAcentral is "lncRNA (ENSMVIG00005011026.1)". The record is from RNAcentral. Lineage: Eukaryota; Metazoa; Chordata; Aves; Passeriformes; Pipridae.